AACGAACGCUGGCGGCAGGCCUAACACAUGCAAGUCGAACGCUGCAGCAAUGCAGAGUGGCAGACGGGUGAGUAACGCGUGGGAACCUUCCCAAUGGUACGGAAUAGCCCAGGGAAACUUGGGGUAAUACCGUAUAAGCCCCAUGGGGGAAAGAUUUAUCGCCAUUGGAUGGGCCCGCGUCGGAUUAGAUCGUUGGUGAGGUAACGGCUCACCAAGGCGACGAUCCGUAGCUGGUUUGAGAGAAUGACCAGCCACACUGGGACUGAGACACGGACCAGACUGCUACGGGAGGACGCAGUGGGGAAUCUUGGACAAUGGGCGAAAGCAUGAUCCAGCCAUGCCGCGUGAGUGACGAAGGCCUUAGGGUUGUAAAGCUCUUUUGGCGGGGACGAUAAUGACGGUACCCGCAGAAUAAGUCCCGGCUAACUUCGUGCCAGCCGCCGCCGUAA
RNAcentral lists this ribosomal RNA (449 nucleotides) under uncultured bacterium. RNAcentral's name for it is "partial 16S ribosomal RNA". It matches the Rfam family "Bacterial small subunit ribosomal RNA", at positions 29 to 523 of the family's 1533-position model. The record is from RNAcentral.